This is a long non-coding RNA of Arachis ipaensis, 396 nucleotides long. RefSeq lists it as uncharacterized. NCBI's taxonomy places the organism in Eukaryota, Viridiplantae, Streptophyta, Magnoliopsida, Fabales, Fabaceae. The record is from RefSeq and is a predicted model, not a curated record.
AAAUUGAGCCGAAUGGGUCGAGCCGGUUGAACCGGGCCCAAACCAGGCCCGCGGGCCCAACCAGCCCAGUAUAUAAAUGAGCUAAAGCUCAUUUUCUGCCUUAGAACACAACAGAAGCAGCGUAAAUGCAUGGAGAAGAAGAGAAUGAAUUCCAAAACCUAGCUUGAUCUUCUUUCUUUGAUAACUUUUGAUCCGGAGCUCUGAUUGACGAGCCGUUUGCGGCCACGCAUCGGGCUCGUUGAGUUCUUCAAUUCUAUUCAAAUAAAACAGGGUCCACUAGACUUGAUUUCUUGUGGGUAUUGCCCAAGAAUCAGUGGGUAAAGGUAGUGUGUAUGUGAAUGUUGAUGCUUGUUGGAGGCUUGUUGGUGAUCAAGCUUGGUUUGGGGCUGUUUGACA